RNAcentral lists this ribosomal RNA (458 nucleotides) under Lactobacillus delbrueckii. RNAcentral's name for it is "bacterial SSU rRNA". It matches the Rfam family "Bacterial small subunit ribosomal RNA", at positions 339 to 793 of the family's 1533-position model. The record is from RNAcentral. Lineage: Bacteria; Bacillati; Bacillota; Bacilli; Lactobacillales; Lactobacillaceae.
CUACGGGGGAGCAGCAGUAGGGAAUCUUCCACAAUGGACGCAAGUCUGAUGGAGCAACGCCGCGUGAGUGAAGAAGGUUUUCGGAUCGUAAAGCUCUGUUGUUGGUGAAGAAGGAUAGAGGCAGUAACUGGUCUUUAUUUGACGGUAAUCAACCAAAAGUCACGGCUAACUACGUGCCACAGCCGCGGUAAUACUAGUGGCAAACGUUGUCCGGAUUUAUUGGGCGUAAAGCGAGCGCAGGCGGAAUGAUAAGUCUGAUGUGAAAGCCCACGGCUCAACCGUGGAACUGCUUCGGAACUGUCAUUCUUGAGUGCAGAAGAGGAGAGUGGAAUUCCAUGUGUAGCGGUGGAAUGCGUAGAUAUAUGGAAGAACACCGGUGGCGAAGGCGGCUCUCUGGUCUGCAACUGACGCUGAGGCUCGAAAGCAUGGGUAGCGAACAGGAUUAGAUACCUGGGUAG